Desmophyllum pertusum is the source of this 78-nucleotide non-coding RNA. Lineage: Eukaryota; Metazoa; Cnidaria; Anthozoa; Scleractinia; Caryophylliidae. The record is from the annotation of a GenBank genome assembly.
GACAUGCGGUGGCCUAAUGGUUAGCGCGUUGCACUCCGGAUCGAGCGAUCCAGGUUCGACUGAGCUCUGGCCGGGUCA